CAUCACAGCGAGAAGCUUGCUAUUGCAUUUGCUCUACUAAAUACUCCAGAGAAUGCAACUUUGAGAAUUAUGAAAAACCUCAGAGUGUGCAAUGACUGCCAUUCUGCCAUUAAAUAUAUUGCUAAACUUGUUGGUAGGGAAAUUAUUGUUAGAGAUGCUACACGUUUUCACCAUUUUAAAGAUGGUUCUUGUUCCUGCAGAGAUUAUUGGUAAGAGUUGAGAAAUUUAUAUACAAGGAGUUGCAAGACAUUUGCAAAUUGACACUGCCAUCAUAUACUCAUUACCAGCUUCAUGCUUCUUCAUGGUUGCUGCUUCAAAAUACUAUUAUUAUGUGGGUGCUAUCAACCUGAACAAGCCUUUUAAAACAUGCUGCAAUUAUCUACCAAGAUCAUGCAAUUGCAAAAAAAUUCUGAAUCAUUCACGUCUAUGAUAUGAGGAAACCAAAAGACAUCUGCUCUGAUCUAAGUUCAACACCAGCGAUGUCGUCCUCGCCCCCUCUACAAGAGAUUCAGAUAUCUGGGAAGAGCAUCGUGCGGAGUUUAUUGUGGUUGAUGUUGACAUCAUGGAACCUCACAAAGGCAUAAUUGAAUCUAUCAGUAAUGGUACAUCUGCACUUGUAUAUAUGUUGAUGAUUUUUGGUAGUGAAGGAUUGAGAUAUUUGGUAAUUUGGAAUUUGGAGAACAGGUGUGGGUUUACUUGGUGAGUAUUUUAAAUAGCUGAUAGCAUAUCUUGUUUUGUUCUUGUUUGAGGUUCAACAAGUGAGAUUGAAUGCAAAAGUAGAUUGACAAGGUGAAGAAGAGAAUUGAAAAUAUUUGUGUUAUACUGCAAAGUUUUUUGGUGAUGUGAAUCAUCUGUACCAAGGCGAGUAGAGUGUGAAGCUGGUGGAAAUGUCACAACUCACAACUCUACACUCAGAGAACAUGCCUAUCAACAAGAGAAGCACAAGUGUAUGUUAAUUAUGAUUGAAAGCAGUGCAGAUUUUUGAGUAGGCAAGCAAGUGUGAUUGAAUUGAAUCACUUGCAUUUUAUACUCCAAUCUGCAGACUAUUUCAGAUCACGCCCAACUUUAUAGUUCUUUACUACUACUUGUCACGUAUUUUAAGGUUCCCACAAUUUAUAAAUAUAGUUCCAUAAGUUAAUUUUGAGAUUUCCUUUCUGAGUAAAAAAAUCCGUACUCUUGUCAUAUUCACUUUUAGCUUCUUGCAGGGUUCAUAAAAAUGUGGAGCUUGCCAAGGCAGCUGCUGAAAGAUUGCUUCAAAUCGAUCCUGAAAAUAGUGGGGCAUAUUCCGCACUUGCUAAUGUAUACUCCGCAUGUGGUAAAUGGCAGGACGCUGCUAUGAUAAGAAAAUCAAUGAAGGAUAAGCAGGUGAAAAAAGAGCAAGGAUUUAGUUGGCUUCAGAUAAGAAAUGAAGCUCAUGUCUUUGGGGUCGACGAUGCGCUGCACCCACAAAGAGAUGCCAUUUAUCAGAUGAUGGAUAAAAUCUGGAAAGAAAUAAAAAAGAUGGGGUUUGUUCCACAAACGGAAGCAGUGUUACAUGAUCUUGAGGAAGAACUUAAGGAACAGAUUCUUAAACAUCACAGCGAGAAGCUUGCUAUUGCAUUUGCUCUACUAAAUACUCCAGAGAAUGCAACUUUGAGAAUUAUGAAAAACCUCAGAGUGUGCAAUGACUGCCAUUCUGCCAUUAAAUAUAUUGCUAAACUUGUUGGUAGGGAAAUUAUUGUUAGAGAUGCUACACGUUUUCACCAUUUUAAAGAUGGUUCUUGUUCCUGCA
Molecule: long non-coding RNA, 1771 nt
Filed under: Daucus carota (carrot)
Lineage: Eukaryota; Viridiplantae; Streptophyta; Magnoliopsida; Apiales; Apiaceae
Description: long non-coding RNA (DCAR_LNC000616)
Source: RNAcentral